UACAGAGGGUGCAAGCGUUGCUCGGAAUUAUUGGGCGUAAAGGGUAGGUAGGUGGUCUCAUUUGUCCGGGGUGAAAGCCUUGAGCUUAACUCAAGAAGUGCCCCGGAAACGGUGAGACUGGAGUCUUGGAGAGGGUCGUGGAAUUCCCGGUGUAGCGGUGAAAUGCGUAGAGAUGUGGAGGAACACCAGUGGCGAAGGCGACUCUUUGGCCUGUAACUGACGCUGAGGCGCGAAAGCGUGGGGAGCAAACAGG
RNAcentral lists this ribosomal RNA (253 nucleotides) under uncultured bacterium. RNAcentral's name for it is "partial 16S ribosomal RNA". It matches the Rfam family "Bacterial small subunit ribosomal RNA", at positions 524 to 776 of the family's 1533-position model. The record is from RNAcentral.